This 427-nucleotide ribosomal RNA is filed under the name uncultured bacterium. Its description in RNAcentral is "partial 16S ribosomal RNA". It matches the Rfam family "Bacterial small subunit ribosomal RNA", at positions 354 to 796 of the family's 1533-position model. The record is from RNAcentral.
GUGGGGAAUAUUGCGCAAUGGGGGAAACCCUGACGCAGCAAUACCGCGUGAGUGAAGAAGGUUUUCGGAUCGUAAAACUCUUUUAUUGGGGAAGAAGAAGUGACGGUACCCAAUGAAGAAGUCCCGGCUAACUACGUGCCAGCAGCCGCGGUAAUACGUAGGGGACAAGCGUUGUCCGGAAUCACUGGGCGUAAAGGGCGCGUAGGCGGUUUUAUAAGUCAGAUGUGAAAGGUACCGGCUCAACCGGUGACGUGCAUUUGAAACUGUAAGACUUGAGUACUGGAGAGGCAAGUGGAAUUCCUAGUGUAGCGGUGAAAUGCGUAGAUAUUAGGAGGAACACCGGUGGCGAAGGCGGCUUGCUGGACAGAUACUGACGCUGAGGUGCGAAAGCGUGGGGAGCGAACAGGAUUAGAUACCCUAGUAGUCC